Molecule: ribosomal RNA, 696 nt
Filed under: Triticum aestivum (bread wheat)
Lineage: Eukaryota; Viridiplantae; Streptophyta; Magnoliopsida; Poales; Poaceae
Description: partial small subunit ribosomal RNA
Source: RNAcentral
CCAGUCCUCAAUCUGGCGGGCCACUGCGACCCGACCAACGGUGGCUGCGCCAGCCUGAGCUCCGACAUAAAGUCAUGCCAGAGCCGUGGUGUCAAGGUCAUACUCUCCAUCGGUGGCGGGGCGGGCGGCUACUACCUUUCCUCGACCCAGGAUGCCAAGAAUGUCGCGAGAUACCUGUGGAACAACUUCUUGGGAGGUAAGUCAUCUUUGCGACCUCUCGGCGAUGCAGUCCUUGACGGCAUCGACUUCGACAUUGAAGGCGGCACACCCCUCCACUGGGACGAUCUUGCGAGGUUCCUCAAAGGAUAUAGCAACUCCGGCAGGAGAGUCUACCUGACUGCCGCACCACAAUGCCCUUUCCCUGACGCAUGGGUGGGUGGCGCCCUUAACACCGGCCUCUUUGACUAUGUGUGGGUGCAAUUCUACAACAAUGCACCCUGUCAGUACACCUCAGGUAGCACUACCAAUCUAGCUGACGCAUGGAAGCAGUGGUUGACAGUUCCAGCAAAGCAGAUCUUCCUCGGCCUCCCGGCGUCACCUCAGGCUGCCGGGAGUGGAUUCAUCCUAGCUAAUGAUCUAAAGUCAGAUGUUCUCCCAUUGAUUAAGAGCACAGGGAAGUAUGGAGGGAUCAUGUUGUGGUCCAAAUAUUAUGAUGACCAGGAUGGCUACAGUUCUUCGGUGAAGAGUGAUGUUUGA